This 610-nucleotide ribosomal RNA is filed under the name Limnobacter sp. RNAcentral describes it as "bacterial SSU rRNA". It matches the Rfam family "Bacterial small subunit ribosomal RNA", at positions 34 to 641 of the family's 1533-position model. The record is from RNAcentral. Lineage: Bacteria; Pseudomonadati; Pseudomonadota; Betaproteobacteria; Burkholderiales; Burkholderiaceae.
GGCAUGGCGGCUGCUUAACAUGCAAGUCGAACGGUAACAGGGAGCUUGCUCCGCUGACGAGUGGCGAACGGGUGAGUAAUACAUCGGAACGUGCCCAGUAAUGGGGGAUAGCUCGGCGAAAGCCGGAUUAAUACCGCAUACGCCCUGAGGGGGAAAGUGGGGGACCGCAAGGCCUCACGUUAUUGGAGCGGCCGAUGGCUGAUUAGCUAGUUGGUAGGGUAAAGGCCUACCAAGGCGACGAUCAGUAGCUGGUCUGAGAGGACGAUCAGCCACACUGGGACUGAGACACGGCCCAGACUCCUACGGGAGGCAGCAGUGGGGAAUUUUGGACAAUGGGGGAAACCCUGAUCCAGCAAUGCCGCGUGUGCGAAGAAGGCCUUCGGGUUGUAAAGCACUUUUGUCAGGGAAGAAAUCCUUUGGGCUAAUACCCUAGGGGGAUGACGGUACCUGAAGAAUAAGCACCGGCUAACUACGUGCCAGCAGCCGCGGUAAUACGUAGGGUGCAAGCGUUAAUCGGAAUUACUGGGCGUAAAGCGUGCGCAGGCGGUUGUGUAAGACAGGUGUGAAAUCCCCGGGCUUAACCUGGGAAUUGCAUUUGUGACUGCACGAC